AAGGAAGGUUAUUUAAAAUUAAGAUUAAAAAGUGAUGCUGAAGUUCGUUGCUUGUAUCGAAAAGACUUAUUUGAUUCGUCGAAUAAACGUAAGAAUUUCAAAUCGACGAGUCGACUUUUGAAGGAUCAGAAAAAAAUUCAAGAAAAAUUAUUCUCGAACAAUGCUACAAAUUUGGAAAUAAAAAAUUACUCGACUUCGGACAAUUCGUCUAUGGUUUACGAUUAUUUAAUGAUGAAUAAUAAGAGAAGAAUGCAAAGAGAGAGAGAAUUAAUUGACAAGGAAACGAAACGUGGAUUUUAUCGAAAAUUCGACGUAAUUCAAAACGGGAAGGAAACUCAUGAAUCGAUGAACCUGACAAAUUGGAAAGAAAUAUCAAGGGGAAAGUUAAGAAAGAAUAAAUCUGCUCCAAAAAUGUCGAGACACGCGAUAUCGAAUGAAAAACUUAAACGAAGAAAUCGAAAAGAUUAUCGUUUUGGAUUAGAAGAGAAAUUCAAUGAUGAUUCUACAAUUACGUUGGUAAAUGGAUUUUUACAAGAUACAAAUUUUCAUACAGUUAAUAUAAGAAUCCUAAAGCAUGAACA
Long non-coding RNA from Vespula pensylvanica (western yellowjacket), 581 nucleotides. RefSeq lists it as uncharacterized. The transcript is spliced from 3 exons. The record is from RefSeq and is a predicted model, not a curated record. NCBI's taxonomy places the organism in Eukaryota, Metazoa, Arthropoda, Insecta, Hymenoptera, Vespidae.